This 253-nucleotide ribosomal RNA is filed under the name uncultured bacterium. RNAcentral's name for it is "partial 16S ribosomal RNA". It matches the Rfam family "Bacterial small subunit ribosomal RNA", at positions 524 to 776 of the family's 1533-position model. The record is from RNAcentral.
UACGGGGGGAGCUAGCGUUAUUCACCAUGACUGGGCGUAAAGGGCAUGUAGACGGUUUUAUAAGUUUUAAAUAAAAAAGUGAAGUUCAAAUUCUAAACGUUUAAAAUACUGUGUAACUAGAGUAUAGUAGAGGGUUGGGGUACUUUCGGUGUAGGGGCGAAAUCCUUAAAUAUCGAUAGGGACAACCAAUUGGCGAAGGCGCCAACCUGGACUAUUCUGACGUUGAGGUGCUAAAGCACGGGGAGCGAACGAG